UACGUAGGGUGCGAGCGUUGUCCGGAAUUACUGGGCGUAAAGAGCUCGUAGGUGGUUUGUCGCGUUGUCCGUGAAAACUCACAACUCAAUUGUGGGCGUGCGGGCGAUACGGGCAGACUGGAGUACUGCAGGGGAGACUGGAAUUCCUGGUGUAGCGGUGGAAUGCGCAGAUAUCAGGAGGAACACCGAUGGCGAAGGCAGGUCUCUGGGCCGUAACUGACGCUGAGAAGCGAAAGCAUGGGGAGCGAACAGG
Molecule: ribosomal RNA, 253 nt
Filed under: uncultured bacterium
Lineage: Bacteria
Description: partial 16S ribosomal RNA
Rfam family: Bacterial small subunit ribosomal RNA
Source: RNAcentral